Molecule: unclassified non-coding RNA, 300 nt
Filed under: uncultured Pseudeurotiaceae
Lineage: Eukaryota; Fungi; Ascomycota; Leotiomycetes; Thelebolales; Pseudeurotiaceae
Description: sequence contains 5.8S rRNA gene, ITS2
Rfam family: 5.8S ribosomal RNA (bases 1-91)
Source: RNAcentral
CAGAUGUGUAUAAGAGACAGGUGAGUCAUCGAAUCUUUGAACGCACAUUGCGCCCUCUGGUAUUCCGGGGGGCAUGCCUGUUCGAGCGUCAUUACAACCCUCAAGCUCUGCUUGGUAUUGGGCCCCACCGGUUCCGGCGGGCCUUAAAAUCAGUGGCGGCGCCAUUCGGCUUCAAGCGUAGUAAUUCUUCUCGCUUCGGAGACCCGGGUGCGUGCUUGCCAGCAACCCCCAAUUUUUUCAGGUUGACCUCGGAUCAGGUAGGGAUACCCGCUGAACUUAAGCAUAUCAAUAAGCGGAGGA